GACGAACGCUGGCGGCGUGCUUAACACAUGCAAGUCGAACGGAAAGGCCCUGCUUUUGUGGGGUGCUCGAGUGGCGAACGGGUGAGUAACACGUGAGUAACCUGCCCUUGACUUUGGGAUAACUUCAGGAAACUGGGGCUAAUACCGGAUAGGAGCUCCUGCUGCAUGGUGGGGGUUGGAAAGUUUCGGCGGUUGGGGAUGGACUCGCGGCUUAUCAGCUUGUUGGUGGGGUAGUGGCUUACCAAGGCUUUGACGGGUAGCCGGCCUGAGAGGGUGACCGGCCACAUUGGGACUGAGAUACGGCCCAGACUCCUACGGGAGGCAGCAGUGGGGAAUAUUGCACAAUGGGCGGAAGCCUGAUGCAGCAACGCCGCGUGCGGGAUGACGGCCUUCGGGUUGUAAACCGCUUUCGCCUGUGACGAAGCGUGAGUGACGGUAACGGGUGAAGAAGCACCGGCUAACUACGUG
RNAcentral lists this ribosomal RNA (468 nucleotides) under uncultured bacterium. RNAcentral describes it as "partial 16S ribosomal RNA". It matches the Rfam family "Bacterial small subunit ribosomal RNA", at positions 28 to 507 of the family's 1533-position model. The record is from RNAcentral.